CUAAACCACAGAAGGAAAUAGACAUCGAGGCUGAAUUUAUUUAUUUAAGUCAGGAAAAUACAGGGGAAAGCACCAUCCUUGAAUAAAUAUAUUUUCAAUCAUUGCUUCCAGAAUCGAGUUGAAACCUGUAUGGAAGGUGUUGGAGGAAGUUGAGACGACGUGACCACUGCUUUACCUGCGAGCUGGACACGGCCAAGUAGAGGCUCCCCACCCCUCAACCCCGUCCUUGGAAUGUACGCUUUGCCCACUGUUCCCACAGUGGGAGCCAUUUUCAAGGUCACAGCCUUGAGAGAGUAAGGUGUUGGGACCGUCUGGACUGAAUACAUGACUGAACCAGGUAAAGUCUCCAUCUAAACUCAAGAUGCAGAGAUCCAUUCAUCUCGCAGCUGCCCAGGACAAGCCUUCUAUGCAGUUAAAGUGGGUCAACCAUUAUGAAUGCGGGAAUGAAAAGAGAGGGCAUUGUGUGAAGAACAAAGACUCGGGUGGUUGCUGGGUCACAGGUUCCUCACUGAAAGUGAGCUGCAAGUUGAUUGGAUCUUACCUGGCAGUUCUCCCAAGACCAUAAGUUCUAGGAGUCACGCAUCAAAUCAGUAAACAAGAGGAAUAGCAUCUGUGAAAUACAUGUCUGAGAGCCUGAAGUCAGAAUGUGAAAAUGACUUCAAAGAUACAGCACUUAAAACUCAGGAUACAGAGGUAGAUAAUCAGGAGGAAAAGAAAGUCUUCUUUGACUAAGCACAGAAAUAUUGGACCACUGACUUAAAUUUAACAAGAGGCACAAAGAAGUACUUUUUGCUUCAAGAAUCUGGCUUGUGUAUAGUUUUAAGAAACUAAAUAUCAUUCCAACUUAAAUAGCAUGUUGACAAAUAUUUUUCCUUUUUACACUCCUUAUAAGACCAUGGAAAUAAAGGACAUUAUUACUGAAAAAGAACCUGUAAUUGUCUCUGUUGAUCU
This is a long non-coding RNA of Camelus dromedarius (Arabian camel), 951 nucleotides long. RefSeq lists it as uncharacterized. The record is from RefSeq and is a predicted model, not a curated record. NCBI's taxonomy places the organism in Eukaryota, Metazoa, Chordata, Mammalia, Artiodactyla, Camelidae. The transcript is spliced from 3 exons.